GGUUUCAUUAAUUCAUAUCACAGAUUAAUCUCUGUUCCUGGAAAACCAGUAAGCAAAUCUUUAACGUACCGACCGUCUACGAUUAAUGGGCCACUCAUGUCUGCUCACUCGGCAUGUGAGUCCCAUCCCGUUUCAACGGUCGGUCCGUUAAUUUUCUAAAGUCCGAGAGUCAUGUAUAUUGUCCCUGCAAUCACCACUCAAUAUUUUCCCAUGUUUUGGCUUUACUCGCUUUGUAUCGCGAAUUACUUCCCGAUAGGUCACCCAUCCUUCCACUACUUCAACUCAAGCAUGCUUAACUCUAGAGUUCUAAACGGAUGUGUGACAGAAAAGAUAAGUCAAUUUUGAUGACAUUGGUAGCCAAAUCAAUCCUCUUAAAUCUCCUCAUAUAUCAUAACUCGGGAUGUUACAAUUCACUCUCUCUCAAAGAACGCAACGUCUUUGUUGCGCCCCACGAUAGGUCUUAUGACGUCUUUCAGGUUAGAAUCGAAAUGGCUAACAAACUCUGAUGCCACACUUAUACUGUCCCGACCGCCCACGGUUAAUGGGCCAUCCACGUCCGUUCACUCAGCCCGCGGGCUCCAUCCCGUUCUAACGAUCGAUCCGUUAAUUUUCCAAGGCCCGAGAGUCAUGUAUAUUGUCCUUGCAAUCACCACCUGAUAUUUCUCCGAGUUUUGGCCUCACUCACACGAUAUCGCGAAUCACUUUCCGAUAGGUCAUCCAUCCUUCCACAACUCUAGCUCAAGCACCCUUCCACAACUUUAGCUCAAGCACACUUAACUCUGAAAUUCUAAAUAGACGUGUGAUAUAAAAUGUAAGUCAGUUUUGAUAUAGAUAACCAAAUCAAUCCUAUUAAGCUUUUCAUAUAUCAAGGGAUGUUACAAAAUCAACAUAAAUCCGCGACGUCGUCAUCCACUGGUUCAUUGGGCUUAUAAUCAGAGUCGAGUGUGCUAUUGGCUCAAAUAACAUGCUUGUGUAUACUCUGUUUUUCUAGAGUACUAACAUCUGGUUUGUUCAUGAAUUUGCUUAUAGUAAGACCUUGUUGGUUUCUGUGGUUCUUUCUCUCUCCAUGAUAUGCUCAUUAGAUCACAUGACUGCGAUGGGUGUUCAAAUAUUCCAAUACAAAGCAUGAUGUUUGAACAUUGGGCUUACAAUAUUACCGUAAUAUUAUCAUGGAUUCAUAAGGAUACUCAAACUGUAACACCCCAAAACCAGCCCAUUUAAAAUUUUAAAUGCUAUUAGGUUCUCUGCAGCCCAAUUAGAAAACCCUAGGGUCUUCCCUACCUCUUCCCCUAUAAAAGCAAGCCUCCACUUCUUUUUCUCUCAUCAGAAAUCUAGAAGCGAAGCCCUGCAGAGAAUUCCCGGAGACUGGAAGCCCUAGCCGUCGACUCUUUCUCUCUCUUCGCCGCGUCUCUCUUCUCUCUCUCUCCUCGCCGCGACUCCUUCUCUACCCCCUCUCUCUCCCGGUCGCGUCUCUCUCUCCUCGCCGUGAGCAACCGCGUGAGGUGGUGGUGGCCGCGUGGUGUCAUAGAUCUCAGAUCCCGUUUCUCUUACCUCCUAUUCUCAGAUCCAGAUCCAGAACUAGACUAAGGUGAGGUGUUCUAUUCCAGAUCUUGUUCAUGUUCUUUUAUACCGUUGAAUGAGGAAUUAGGAUGGUUUAGAUCCUGAUUGAUGAUUAGGUUGAUAGAUCAUACUGCAUAAGAACGCUCGUUCUGAUUAAGGACAGUAAAUGUAUUGUUUGUGUUGAUUGAAUGAUGAAUGAGUGAUUGGUUGAUGAACUAAUCUUGAUUGUGGUUGAAAGCUAGGAUGCUUAGAAGGAAUUAAAGGUAGGUUAAUAGCAAACGCUACCCGGUUGAUUAGAUGAAUGAUAGGACAUCCUUGAAAUGGUUGUUUAUUGAAUUGAAUGUGACACCGAGAACGGGUGGCGUCUAGAAAUGAAAGAAAGGAAAGAGUCUAAAGAAAAAGAAAAUGAAUAAAGAAAAGGAAAUGAUAAGAAAAAGGGAAUGAAAAUGAAUGAUUAGAAAAGUACCCGGGAAGGGUGGGAUAAAUUACCCAAGAAGGGUGGGAUAAAUUACCCGGGGAAGGGUGGAAAGAAAGGAAACGCGGCGGCCGUAGCGUUCAAAAACGGCGGAGAUGCGGGGCCAUAGCAUCGGAUAAAAAUGGCAGGAUAAGAAUAGAGGCGCCGGUAAGAUUGAGUCACGCCGAGUCUUGGCGGGAAGGGGUCGUAAUACACUGCAAAGGCGGUCCGAACCCGAGGAACUGGGCGGCGGGCCUACCAGGGCAGGCGACUUCACAGGAAGCAGCAAGAAAAGGGGAGGAAUGGUCCGCUUGAGCUGUGUAGGUCCUAAAGUCCUAGGAUGAUGGGAGGUCUUAAAUAAUAAACCGUAUUCUUUGAUUGAGUGAUGACUGAGUUCAUCACAGUGCUUGAUUGUAAAAUGAAACUUAAUAACUAGCUGAUAGGUUGCAUCGACUGAGUGUAGUGACUAGACGGUUCUCGUUUCGCAUUGAGCCGUAUAGAGGCUCAUGGGGGAGACUGGUCUAGAAUCGCCUCACUGAGUAUUAGUACUCACCCCUCUUUUCCCUCUCCCUUUUUGCAGAACUAUAAGUGGAAAUGUCAACGGUAAGGAAGAAAAUGCAACUGAAACUCAUGGGACCAGAAACGGGACACACGGAGAUGUCGGGAAAAUAGACAUGUGUGUCCUAAACCCCGCGCCCUGGAACCCCGGUUGGAAAUGGGGAGGGGCGGGUGUUUCAAUUGGUAUCAGAGCCAGGUUAAGGUCCCUUAAUACUAACUUAAGGGAUCAGCAUUUCCACUAUUGUCCUUUUCCCUUAUGGUUCUGAUAGACCGCCAUAGUUAAUGUUGAAGGAGAAUUCGAACAGCUCAGAGUCUCCGGACAAGAUCAGUUCAACCAAAAAGUCCUCGUACCGCAGUGUAGUGGAGUUUCAGAGUUUCAGGAAUGGGUAACAAGGAGUUGUAAGGCAAGUAUACAGAGGGAUUAGUCGCCUAGCACGUCAAGUUAAUGGGGAAGGAUAGACGGACGCAAGGCCGAGGCGUGCGCAGCUUCACGGAGGAAUUAAACCCUGCAAAGAAAUGGACUUCUGGCAUUCCGAUAUAACAGUCAAACUCGUUCCUUAUAUAUAAAAAAAAAAAAAAAGGGAGAAGUAUGGGCGCGGGUCCCACCAUCAGGGCGUGGGCCCGCCGACGAGGAAGGAGCAGCCCGGGGCGGCCAAGGGACGGACGGACGAGAUAGUGGGAGAAAACCGAUUCCAGAUUGUGAGGACCAAGCUAAGGAUCAUCUUGGGGUAAAAAGGAUGAUGGAGGAUCAUCUUGGGGUAAAAAGGAUGAUGGAGGAUCAUCUUGGGGUAAAAAAAGAUGAUGGAGAGUCAUCUUGGAGCAGAAUGCAAAAUGUUAAUAAGGAUAUGAGAUCUUCAUAGGGUAAAAGGGCUGACUGUAAAAAGGAUCAUCUUGGGGCAAAAAGGGAUGAUAAGAACCACACCGGAGAUAUUGUCAUGCAGUGUUAAAGCAGCUCUAGUUUGAGAAUUGAUUGAAAACUGCCAUCUAUGCAUGACUACUAUUAUGUUCUGAUCAGGUCUUCGUUUUUACGCUGCAGGAUGUCUUCACCAGUGCAACACGAGCUCGGAGAAAGACGCAUGCGCUAUGGACCAAAAGGGACAAGGGCGUACGCCCGCAAGCCCUACCGUGACGCUUGGGGCGAUGUGGUACCUGCACUCUUCCCAGACGAAGAGGAAAUGGAGUUCGCGGAGCAGCCGAACGCCCCUAUCCAGGAGACGACCGUGAGGCGUCGGAUUUUGAUGCCCCAUUUCCAGCGGGCAGCCGAGUACAGGCGAUUGUACCAGGGUCAGGGUACUUUCCAGUUUGCACCUGAAGUUGACACGACGCCGCCCACAAGGGGCCGAGGGCGCCCCAGGAAGACGGGGCCGACCAGGGCAGGUCCGGGACCGAUCAGGAUGGAGGACAGUGUACCAACGAGGAAACGUGGACGCCCAAGGAAGAUUCCGAGCAUUGAUGCAGAGAGUCUGAGGAGCAUAACUGGAAUAUGUCGGUGUGGAACAUUGACGCAGGCCAGGCAAGGACCGCGCUCAGUCCGGGAGUACACAGAGGAAUUCCUGGAGUUAGCCAAAAGAUGCAAGCCCAAGACAACGGAGGAUUGGUGCCGGUGGUAUAAGGCAGGACUCCGCGAGGAGAUUCGGGGCAAGCUGAUUGGUGUGUUGGAACCAUGGAAAUUCGCCUUGGUGAACCGGAUGGCCGGUCAGGCAAUGGAGGCUGAACGGACACUUACUCGUCGGGUCGUCGCCAUCUCGAGCUCUGAAGAGGACGUAGAGGUGGAUGAGGAUCCACCGGAGGACUCAGAGUGGGAAGAGGAGCCGGCGUCGUCGACAGGGAGUGGCCGUGCGGCUGGUCCUAAGCCGGAAGGGGAGCAGAAGUCUCCAGUACGAAGUGGCUAGAUGAGAUUUCUGAGUCAGCUAGUAGGAGUAGGACACGGUUUUUCUUCCUUCCGUAUUGGUUUUAGCUUUCAUUUCUUGUUGUGAGGUUAUUCGCGGAUUUUGGCGAUACCUUGAGACCUAUUUAUUCGUUGUAGUCCUACUCCAUUUCAUUUAUUAAAUUCAUUGUUGGUUUUAAAUGAUCUUGAGCAAGUAGGAUGUCAUUUCGUGCUUCCCUUGUUUGUGUUUGGAAACUCACCCGAGUUUUGGGAUGUUAAGUUCGAACUGAAGAUUUGGAAUUCGGGACGAAUUCCGAAUAAGAGGGGGAGAAUUGUAACACCCCAAAACCAGCCCAUUUAAAAUUUUAAAUGCUAUUGGGUUCUCUGCAGCCCAAUUAGAAAACCCUAGGGUCUUCCCUACCUCUUCCCCUAUAAAAGCAAGCCUCCACUUCUUUUUCUCUCAUCAGAAAUCUAGAAGCGAAGCCCUGCAGAGAAUUCCCAGAGACUGGAAGCCCUAGCCGUCGACUCUUUCUCUCUCUUCGCCGCGUCUCUCUUCUCUCUCUCUCCUCGCCGCGACUCCUUCUCUCCUCUCUCUCUCUCCCGGUCGCGUCUCUCUCUCCUCGCCGUGAGCAACCGCGUGAGGUGGUGGUGGCCGCGUGGUGUCAUAGAUCUCAGAUCCCGUUUCUCUUACCUCCUAUUCUCAGAUCCAGAUCCAGAACUAGGCUAAGGUGAGGUGUUCUAUUCCAGAUCUUGUUCAUGUUCUUUUAAACCGUUGAAUGAGGAAUAAGGAUGGUUUAGAUCCUGAUUGAUGAUUAGGUUGAUAGAUCAUACUGCAUAAGAACGCUCGUUCUGAUUAAGGACAGUAAAUGUAUUGUUUGUGUUGAUUGAAUGAUGAAUGAGUGAUUGGUUGAUGAACUAUUCUUGAUUGUAGUUGAAAGCUAGGAUGCUUAGAAGGAAUUAAAGGUAGGUUAAUAGCAAACGCUAACCGGUUGAUUAGAUGAAUGAUAGGACAUCCUUGAAAUGGUUGUUUAUUGAAUUGAAUGUGACACCGAGAACGGGUGGCGUCUAGAAAUGAAAGAAAGGAAAGAGUCUAAAGAAAAAGGAAAUGAAUAAAGAAAAGGAAAUGAUAAGAAAAAGGGAAUGAAAAUGAAUAAUUAGAAAAGUACCCGGGAAGGGUGGGAUAAAUUACCCAAGAAGGGUGGGAUAAAUUACCCGGGGAAGGGUGGAAAGAAAGGAAACGCGGCGGCCGUAGCGUUCAAAAACGGCGGAGAUGCGGGGCCAUAGCAUCGGAUAAAAAUGGCAGGGUAAGAAUAGAGGCGCCGGUAAGAUUGAGUCACGCCGAGUCUUGGCGGGAAGGGGUCGUAAUACACUGCAAAGGCGGUCCGAACCCGAGGAACUGGGCGGCGGGCCUACCAGGGCAGGCGACUUCACAGGAAGCAGCAAGAAAAGGGGAGGAAUGGUCCGCUUGAGCUGUGUAG
RNAcentral lists this long non-coding RNA (5917 nucleotides) under Brassica rapa (field mustard). RNAcentral describes it as "long non-coding RNA (BRAP_LNC007306)". Lineage: Eukaryota; Viridiplantae; Streptophyta; Magnoliopsida; Brassicales; Brassicaceae. The record is from RNAcentral.